GACGUAGGGGGCCAGCGUUGUUCGGAAUUACUGGGUGUAAAGGGUUCGUAGGCGGUGUGGCAAGUCGGGAGUGAAAUCUCUGGGCUCAACCCAGAGUCUGCUUCCGAAACUGCUGUGCUUGAGUGUGGGAGAGGCGCGUGGAAUUGCAGGUGUAGCGGUGAAAUGCGUAGAUAUCUGCAGGAACACCCGUGGCGAAAGCGGCGCGCUGGACCACUACUGACGCUGAGGAACGAAAGCUAGGGGAGCAAACGGG
This 253-nucleotide ribosomal RNA is filed under the name uncultured bacterium. Its description in RNAcentral is "partial 16S ribosomal RNA". It matches the Rfam family "Bacterial small subunit ribosomal RNA", at positions 524 to 776 of the family's 1533-position model. The record is from RNAcentral.